GUGAAUCAUCAAAUCUUUGAACGCAAAUUGCACUCUCUUCUGGUAGUAUGCCUGUUUGAGUUUGAGCCUAAAAAAAAUCGACAUAGUCGCUGUUGUCGCGGUGACAUUCGUCGGAAAGGGGGUCAGCUUAAACCUUUGGGUUUUAAGCGGCUUAAAAUUUUCUUGACGAUUGCCACGGACGUUUCUAAUAUUGACUGCUUACACACG
Molecule: unclassified non-coding RNA, 207 nt
Filed under: Glomus sp.
Lineage: Eukaryota; Fungi; Glomeromycota; Glomeromycetes; Glomerales; Glomeraceae
Description: partial internal transcribed spacer 2
Source: RNAcentral